Molecule: long non-coding RNA, 3002 nt
Filed under: Gallus gallus (chicken)
Lineage: Eukaryota; Metazoa; Chordata; Aves; Galliformes; Phasianidae
Source: RNAcentral
CUCAUACCUAUAUUCAUGUGCUGCAAGCAGAUGGCUGAUUGCUUUUCUGUCCUCUCACACUGCAGUCCUGUUCCUUUAGAUCCUCUCUCUCUGUAGAGAGAGGCAUGUUGUGAGGUCAGUUUUCUGACAAGGUCAUCUGCCUUCAGUGCAUGAAGAGAACUACACGGAAAGUGGGUUGGGCUAUAUUUAGAGUUUGGUCCAACUCCGUGCCAAGGUCCCCCCGCUGUCUCUCCCAUGCAGCACUGUCUCAGGUUUAUUCCUGUAGAGUCUCAGCCCACAGAAUAAACGAAGGGAGAAAAGCCAUUCUGAGCUACUACUUACCGGAGCUGGGUUUUUGCAUUUCAGUAGAACAAGUGGAUCAGGAGCUCAGAUGAGAAUUCCUUGAAUCCCUUGCUCUCUUAUUAUUUAAAGUCUUUUUUUUUUUUCCUUUAUUCAAGUGGAUUUUCCCUUUUGAAGUGAAUAAGCAGAGGGAAUUGCCUGGGAUACAGCAGAAAUAAGCCUCCUGAGCUGAGGAUGUUUGUAAUUCCGGGCAGCAGUGCUACUUCCCACAGCGUGAGAAAGACCAUGGCAACUUGGCAGGACUGCUACCUGCUCAGUUCCCAAAAUGAAUACAUCUGCCAGAACAUUCAGGUUUCCAGCCUGUGAUGCUCCAGCAGAUUCAUAUUACAAAAGAGACGAUUCUGGACACGACAAAGGAAAUUUAGGGAAAUAUCCCUAACUAUCAAGAGAAGAGAUCUGUACUGGUAAAGUCAGAGGGCAUCUGUAGAUUCCUCCGCCUCCUCCUUCUCCAAACAAUCCUUCUGCUCUCAGAGUACGUUGCAAAUGAUCGAGUCCAUGGAAUAAUGAAACUGAUUGUCUCAGUCAGCUCUCCACAGACAUGAGUUCACAAGAGAGGCAGCCUUGCAGCUUCCUCAGACAUUCGUAAAGACUUUUGAUCUUUCUUUGAAGGAACUUUUCUCAGGAUAUUUAAAAGCCUGUGGUUUAUUUUCAUGUGUGGAGAAAAGCAAUGCUGAGAGAACCCUCCCACACAAAGAACCGUCUCAACAAAGCUAUGCUUGUCAGAAACACCCUUGAAGAAAAUUAACAUAUACUGACUUUGAAGGUAUGGUCCUGGUAGUCCUCACUGUGGUCUCUAUAGCCCACUGUAUGGGUUCCAUGCAAAUAUCCAGCAGAACAAAAAUGAGUAAAAUGGAACUGGAGAUGGCUUCUCUUUUUUGCCCAGAGAGGCUGUGGAUGCUCCAUCCUCGGAGGUGUUCAAGACCAGGUAGAAUGAGGCCCUGGGCAAACUGAUCUAGUACCAGGUCUGGAGGUUGAUGGCCCUUCCUGUGGCAGGGGAGUUGGAACUUGAUGAUCUUCGUGAUCCCUUCCAACCCUAGCCAUUCUAUGAUUCUAUGAUGAUUCUACGGCCAAAAGGCUUAAGAAGUUUGGGUUUCGGAUACCCAGACUGUGGGGUAACAACAUAACUAACACCAGACAAUACGCAAUUGAUAAUUCUUGCUUAUCUUGCUUUCACUAGAUAAACCUUGAAAACAAAGUACUUCAAUUCAUUUACUGUUCUUUUGUUUAGGAAGAUCAUUCGUGUUUCCCUCAAGCAACAAGCAGAGAAUUACACAGACAUGCACUAAGUACACAAAUUCUAAAACACUGUGUGCAUACACAAACACACACACACACACACACACACACACAUUGAAAUAAAAGAAAUGCCCUUAGUUUUUCCCUCUUCUGUUGCACACAGCUAUUAUAGCUGAUAAUACCAUAACACUGUAUUUCUUCAAUUAGAUAGCAUUUGGAGAGUUGUGAUUAUAUGCUGUUUUUGAAACGAAAUCACACCACGUUACCAGCAUGUUUGGGGGCUCAGAAGAACAUGGUUUGUCACAAGCCCUUCUCUGCCAGGGUCAUGGUCCAAUCAGAAUGGAAGGACACCAUAUUAUAGAAGAUAGACUGGCCACUGAAGUCAUGUUGGUACACACACAUACACUUGUGUAGGAAAAGUUCAUUGCUGAAGACAGAGAUGCAAAAGAUGCACUGGAAGAGAUUUGUCAUGCUAAUAAAAAUAUUUUAAGAAAACCACUGAAUUGACAAUAUUCUAAUUCUGUCUAGAUUAAAACAGAACAUAAUGACUGUCCAACUUGGAGGAAAAUGACAGGUUUUCGGGAGAGGGAACUCUAUAAAAAGCGGAUAUAUAUAUAUAUAAUUUGAUGAUACAAAACUAACCUUGAAAUAUUCAUAAAAUUAUCACAAAAUGAUGGCACUUUGGCUGUAUCACGUCUGCAGAAGGCAUCAAAGGAACUGUGGCAAUAACCUACAUUGUCAGGGCACUGGGAAUAGCUGCUUUUGCAGGCUUCUUGUUUACUACAAGUACCUGCCAGCUGUGAGACGAGCAAAUACAUUGAGCAUUUAGAGAGUCUUGUCACUGUGAAAUUUCCCCUGGAUCUUAAACUCUAUCAAAACUGUCACAGAUUUGUACACCUUAAUUCCACUGCGGAGACAUCACCUUAAAGUACAUUUGUACAAUGUUUGGUAGAAAGAGAUAGUAAUUUUGACCAGGACUUCUAUGGGAUUUCAUUUUUUAAGUCUCUAGCAGGAACAGGGAACAGGAAAACUUAAAAGAAUAAACCAUAGGUACAGUUCCUCUAUGGCAGUGGGGCUAAGCACUUGGUCUAUCUGAGAGUUCCCUUCUCAACCACUGCCAAUUCCAGUCAAGCCAGAGGGACAGGACAAGAGAGCUCAAAGACAAAGACACUUCCCCAAGUUCAGGAAGACUGGAGCCUGAAGAAAGAGACAAGAAACUGCCACAGUGAGCAAAAACUGAAACGUUGGGUUCAGCCCCAGCCACAGUAGCUGCUGCCUUAGCCUUAGUGCACUCCUGGGAGCUGUGUGGAGAGCUGAGGGUUUGUGAAUGGCAGAGGAGAGUGCUGAGGAUGCAGUAGGAACGUGGGGCUGUUAUGGCGGUUGCAGAGAAGAUGGGAGGAGCUGAGAGAAAGGCAAAGAAGAGGGAG